This 348-nucleotide long non-coding RNA is filed under the name Sinocyclocheilus grahami. RNAcentral's name for it is "lncRNA (ENSSGRG00000040212.1)". Lineage: Eukaryota; Metazoa; Chordata; Actinopteri; Cypriniformes; Cyprinidae. The record is from RNAcentral.
GGUCCUCCAAAAAUAGAGCCCUUUUGCCAUUCUUAGCAACAGGAGAGAGAAACAUGCUGGGGAACUGAAAAAGAUCUUUUGUGCAGCUCAUAGAUGCAGAAAUGCUCAAUUAAAUCACCUUUAUAUUUUAUUCUGUGUUGUUGCUUAAACCUAAUACAACAAAAAGCACUUGAUGUCCAACAAAAAGUCACCCACAACUUCCAGGACUUAAAUGCUCAAACAAGAUGGAACUUUGUGUUGCUGCAGUGCUUUUGUCCUACUUCGCUCCAGCUUUGGCUUCUCAAAUGGAUGAAAUUCAUGGUAAGUGUUGUCUUCUAGUCUAGAAUUAAUUUUACAUUAACUGAACGU